GAUGAACGCUGGCGGCGUGCCUAAUACAUGCAAGUCGAGCGAACAGAUGAGGAGCUUGCUCCUCUGACGUUAGCGGCGGACGGGUGAGUAACACGUGGAUAACCUACCUAUAAGACUGGGAUAACUUCGGGAAACCGGAGCUAAUACCGGAUAAUAUAUUGAACCGCAUGGUUCAAUAGUGAAAGACGGUUUUGCUGUCACUUAUAGAUGGAUCCGCGCCGCAUUAGCUAGUUGGUAAGGUAACGGCUUACCAAGGCAACGAUGCGUAGCCGACCUGAGAGGGUGAUCGGCCACACUGGAACUGAGACACGGUCCAGACUCCUACGGGAGGCAGCAGUAGGGAAUCUUCCGCAAUGGGCGAAAGCUUGACAGAGCAACGCCGCGUGAGUGAUGAAGGUCUUCGGAUCGUAAAACUCUGUUAUUAGGGAAGAACAAAUGUGUAAGUAACUAUGCACGUCUUGACGGUACCUAAUCAGAAAGCCACGGCUAACUACGUG
RNAcentral lists this ribosomal RNA (497 nucleotides) under uncultured bacterium. RNAcentral's name for it is "partial 16S ribosomal RNA". It matches the Rfam family "Bacterial small subunit ribosomal RNA", at positions 28 to 507 of the family's 1533-position model. The record is from RNAcentral.